GGGCUCAGUGGGCCCUUCUCAAAGGGAUAAUUUAUAGUAACUUUCUGCUCAAAAAAGUACUUGAGGGUGAGAUUGAGUCCACGGACCAAUUCAGUCAAAAAUAAAGUAUUGAUACUCCGUUCAAAAAUAGAACUCCAGUCUUUGCCCAUCUCCUUGGCAAGUUUCUCUCUCUCCUCAUCCUCUUUUGCUGUUGAGAAACGAUGUGAAUUGAGUCCUUGUAAGUGAUUAUUGAAACCUUGUGCAACUUGUCCUGCUCGAACCGAGGGCUUGGAUCGGAGAGCUUGGAUGGUUUGUCGAGCUAUGAACCCCGCCAUCGCGAGAGCAGAGGCGGCAGUGAGAGCAGGUGGAUUCGACGGCGAAG
RNAcentral lists this unclassified non-coding RNA (361 nucleotides) under Hevea brasiliensis (rubber tree). Lineage: Eukaryota; Viridiplantae; Streptophyta; Magnoliopsida; Malpighiales; Euphorbiaceae. The record is from RNAcentral.